Long non-coding RNA from Scleropages formosus (Asian bonytongue), 1009 nucleotides. RefSeq lists it as uncharacterized. The record is from RefSeq and is a predicted model, not a curated record. The transcript is spliced from 2 exons. Lineage: Eukaryota; Metazoa; Chordata; Actinopteri; Osteoglossiformes; Osteoglossidae.
GUCACCCUCCUCUUCCACAUCCUGCUCAGGUGGAUCUCCUUCCGUGGAAGAACGGAAACGCUCAGCCGCUUCCAUCAUCUCAAGAGAGAUGAUGAUGAUGAUGAUACUGCAUAAGAAUCAUUGACUGAUGUCAGCGUGGCUCAGUGGACUAAGGGAGAUUAGUGAGACCAGUAUGAGCCCGGUGAUUUAACAACUACACAUCAUAAUGAUGAGGCCAAAGAUGGAUUUCUGUAUUCUUCAGCAUCUGGUUGAUUUUUUUUUUUUUUUGACUAAUUUAUUUCAUUUAAACAUUUUAUUUAUAAUUCCACAGCGCUGUGUUUUUCUGCACUGUUCCCACAUGUUCCAGAGGAGGACUGUUGUUUCACUGACUGCCUUUUCGCCCUUUAAUGCUCCCCUGUCGUGUUUCUUUUGCAGCGCCAAACGCUCUUGGGUUCCAUUUUCAGUUGUUUCUCCUUCGGCGUGUCGUAAAAUAAUUUCUUUCCCGGCAGAACAACUUCUAGGUUUAUGCGGAAAACGUUCACCGUCCUAAGCUCCCUCGGCCUUCCUCGAUUAUGCAGUUUGGUGCGGUUGGAUGUCACCUGUGCCGUAAAAACCUAACUUUUUGUAAACCGCUUUUUCCACCAAAGCAGUUGGACCUCUUGGAAAACCUCCCGUUUGUUGUUCUGUGUGUUUCACCUGUUUGAUAUGUGUUUUCCAGUUAACCCUCCCCGCUCACUGCAUGCUACACGAGAGACCCCAUCCUGUUCAGGCUUCCUGUAGAAACUCCUCACCACCUAUGAAUGAGCUCUCACACACAGCUGCCCCGAGUCUUGCAACACACUCAUCUGCCCCUGUCCAAGCACAGUCCAGGUCAUGCUUGGGGAAAGAAGCCAGACUUGAGUGUCAAUGAAGUGAAAUGCUUGACUCAUGCUUUCUUUGUUCUUUUUAUAAACAUGACACUGUGUUUUUUUUUUAAAACAAUUUUAUAGAAUUUUUCUCAGUCGCUUUUAAUAAACCCCCUUUGCUUUGU